AACGCACCUUGCACCCUCUGGUAUUCCGGAGGGUAUGCCUGUCUGAGUGUCACGUAACCUCGUGCAGUCGGGAGACCGACGGCACGGACUUGGGUGUUGCCCUCCGGGGCUCGCCUCAAUAGCAUCGGUGGGGAUAAGCGUUGUAUGUAUCGCUGGCCCUGCCUUACACCGCCCGGGCUCACGCCCGGGAGCCUCACGGCACGUACACAGACCUCAGAUCAGGUAGGACUACCCGCUGAACUUAA
This 245-nucleotide unclassified non-coding RNA is filed under the name uncultured fungus. RNAcentral describes it as "partial contains 5.8S ribosomal RNA, internal transcribed spacer 2, and large subunit ribosomal RNA". The stretch from base 1 to 52 matches the Rfam family "5.8S ribosomal RNA", at positions 103 to 154 of the family's 154-position model. The record is from RNAcentral. Lineage: Eukaryota; Fungi.